This 327-nucleotide ribosomal RNA is filed under the name Amanitoid fungal sp. 27MR. RNAcentral describes it as "LSU rRNA". It matches the Rfam family "Bacterial large subunit ribosomal RNA", at positions 1773 to 2104 of the family's 2925-position model. The record is from RNAcentral. Lineage: Eukaryota; Fungi; Basidiomycota; Agaricomycetes; Agaricales; Amanitaceae.
AUGGUGGCACAGAAUCGGAGGCCCCGACUGUUUACUAAAAACACAACACAGUGCAAUCAUUAAUAUGGUAGUAUACUGUGUGAAAUUUGCCCAAUGCCAUUAAUAUAAAAGCGGUCAUAGGAAACUGUGACUAAUUGAAAAUCUGGUUAAUAGCGGUCUUAACCAUGAGGAUCCUAAGGUAGCAAAAUAAAUUGGCCAUUAAAUGUGGUCCGGUAUCAAUAAUGUAACGAUGGCCUCACUGUCUCUACAACUUGCUCAGUNNNNNNGAAUUACGCGUGCAGAUGCGCGUUACCUCCAGGUGGACGGGAAGACCCUAUGCAGCUUCUA